GAUGAAGAACGCAGCGAAAUGCGAUACUUGGUGUGAAUUGCAGAAUCCCGUGAACCAUCGAGUCUUUGAACGCAAGUUGCGCCCGAAGCCAUUAGGCCGAGGGCACGCCUGCCUGGGCGUCACACGUCGUUGCCCCCCCAUCUACUCCUUCGGGAUUGCGGGGGGCGGAUGAUGGCCUCCCGUGCGCCUCGUCGCGCGGUUGGCCUAAAUGCCAAGUCCUCGGCGACGCAUGCCACGACAAUCGGUGGUUGCGAAACCUCGGUUGCCCGUCGUGUGCGGUCGUCGCGCAUCGAGGGCUCGAAAAAAUUGCCGGGCUUCGGCUCGACUUUCAACGCGACCCCAGGUCAGGCGGGGUUACCCGCUGAAUUUAAGCAUAUCAAUAAGCGGAGGA
Molecule: unclassified non-coding RNA, 391 nt
Filed under: soil metagenome
Description: partial contains 5.8S ribosomal RNA, internal transcribed spacer 2, and large subunit ribosomal RNA
Rfam family: 5.8S ribosomal RNA (bases 1-122)
Source: RNAcentral